This 440-nucleotide ribosomal RNA is filed under the name uncultured bacterium. RNAcentral's name for it is "partial 16S ribosomal RNA". It matches the Rfam family "Bacterial small subunit ribosomal RNA", at positions 338 to 795 of the family's 1533-position model. The record is from RNAcentral.
CCUACGGGUGGCAGCAGUAGGGAAUCUUUCACAAUGGGCGAAAGCCUGAAGGAGCAAAGCCGCGUGCAGGAUGAAGGCCUUCGGGUUAUAAAAUGCUUUUAUAAGCGAGACAUAUGAUGGUACCUUAUGCAUAAGGAUCGGGUACCUACGUGCCGGCAGCCGCGGUAAUACGUCGGUGGCAAGCGUUAUACGGAUUUACUGGGGGUAAAGGGCGUGUAGGCGGGAGUGCAAGUCAGAUGUGAAAACUAUGGGCUCAACCCAUAGCCUGCAUUUGAAACUGGACUUCUUGAGUGCUGGAGAGGCAAUCGGAAUUCCGGGUGUAGCGGUGAAAUGCGUAGAUAUACGGAGGAACACCAGUGGCGAAGGCGGAUUGCUGGACAGUAACUGACGCUGAGGCGCGAAAGCGUGGGGAGCAAACAGGAUUAGAUACCCCAGUAGUC